UCUGCCUAGUAGUGGGGGAUAACUUGCCGAAAGGUAAGCUAAUACCGCAUACGUCCUACGGGAGAAAGCAGGGGACUCUUCGGGGCCUUGCGCUAUUAGAUGAGCCUAGGUCGGAUUAGUUAGUUGGUGAGGUAAUGGCUCACCAAGACCGCGAUCCGUAACUGGUCUGAGAGGAUGAUCAGUCACACUGGAACUGAGACACGGCCCAGACUCCUACGGGAGGCAGCAGUGGGGAAUAUUGGACAAUGGGGGGAACCCUGAUCCAGCCAUGCCGCGUGUGUGAAGAAGGCCUUCGGGUUGUAAAGCACUUUAAUUUGGGAGGAAGGGCUUACGGUUAAUAACCGCUAAGUUUUGACGUUACCAAAAGAAUAAGCACCGGCUAACUUCGUGCCAGCAGCCGCGGUAAUACGAAGGGUGCAAGCGUUAAUCGGAAUUACUGGGCGUAAAGCGCGCGUAGGUGGUUCAGUAAGUUAGGAGUGAAAGCCCCGGGCUCAACCUGGGAAUUGCUUCUAAAACUGCUGGGCUAGAGUACAGUAGAGGGUGGUGGAAUUUCCUGUGUAGCGGUGAAAUGCGUAGAUAUAGGAAGGAACAUCAGUGGCGAAGGCGACCCACUG
This 614-nucleotide ribosomal RNA is filed under the name uncultured bacterium. Its description in RNAcentral is "bacterial SSU rRNA". It matches the Rfam family "Bacterial small subunit ribosomal RNA", at positions 125 to 731 of the family's 1533-position model. The record is from RNAcentral.